UUACGGCCAUAACACAUUGAAACAACGGUUCCCGUACGUUCACCGAAGUUAAGCAACUGAGAUUAGUCAGUACUUUGAUGGGUGAUCGCUUGUGAAUAGCGGGUGUU
Molecule: non-coding RNA, 107 nt
Organism: Acanthosepion pharaonis
Lineage: Eukaryota; Metazoa; Mollusca; Cephalopoda; Sepiida; Sepiidae
Source: the annotation of a GenBank genome assembly